UACGUAGGUGGCAAGCGUUGUCCGGAAUUACUGGGUGUAAAGGGUGCGCAGGCGGGGAUGCAAGUCAGCUGUGAAAACUAUCGGCUUAACUGAUAGACUGCAGUUGAAACUGUAUUUCUUGAGUGAAGUAGAGGUAGGCGGAAUUCCUAGUGUAGCGGUGAAAUGCGUAGAUAUUAGGAGGAACACCAGUGGCGAAGGCGGCCUACUGGGCUUUAACUGACGCUGAGGCACGAAAGUGUGGGGAGCAAACAGG
This 253-nucleotide ribosomal RNA is filed under the name uncultured bacterium. RNAcentral's name for it is "partial 16S ribosomal RNA". It matches the Rfam family "Bacterial small subunit ribosomal RNA", at positions 524 to 776 of the family's 1533-position model. The record is from RNAcentral.